This 1346-nucleotide ribosomal RNA is filed under the name uncultured bacterium. Its description in RNAcentral is "partial 16S ribosomal RNA". It matches the Rfam family "Bacterial small subunit ribosomal RNA", at positions 28 to 1381 of the family's 1533-position model. The record is from RNAcentral.
GACGAACGCUGGCGGCGUGCUUAACACAUGCAAGUCGAACGGAAAGGCCCUGCUUUUGUGGGGUGCUCGAGUGGCGAACGGGUGAGUAACACGUGAGUAACCUGCCCUUGACUUUGGGAUAACUUCAGGAAACUGGGACUAAUACCGGAUAGGAGCUCCUGCUGCAUGGUGGGGGUUGGAAAGUUUCGGCGGUUGGGGAUGGACUCGCGGCUUAUCAGCUUGUUGGUGGGGUAGUGGCUUACCAAGGCUUUGACGGGUAGCCGGCCUGAGAGGGUGACCGGCCACAUUGGGACUGAGAUACGGCCCAGACUCCUACGGGAGGCAGCAGUGGGGAAUAUUGCACAAUGGGCGGAAGCCUGAUGCAGCAACGCCGCGUGCGGGAUGACGGCCUUCGGGUUGUAAACCGCUUUCGCCUGUGACGAAGCGUGAGUGACGGUAAUGGGUAAAGAAGCACCGGCUAACUACGUGCCAGCAGCCGCGGUGAUACGUAGGGUGCGAGCGUUGUCCGGAUUUAUUGGGCGUAAAGGGCUCGUAGGUGGUUGAUCGCGUCGGAAGUGUAAUCUUGGGGCUUAACCCUGAGCGUGCUUUCGAUACGGGUUGACUUGAGGAAGGUAGGGGAGAAUGGAAUUCCUGGUGGAGCGGUGGAAUGCGCAGAUAUCAGGAGGAACACCAGUGGCGAAGGCGGUUCUCUGGGCCUUUCCUGACGCUGAGGAGCGAGAGCGUGGGGAGCGAACAGGCUUAGAUACCCUGGUAGUCCACGCUGUAAACGGUGGGUACUAGGUGUGGGGUCCAUUCCACGGGUUCCGUGCCGUAGCUAACGCUUUAAGUACCCCGCCUGGGGAGUACGGCCGCAAGGCUAAAACUCAAAGGAAUUGACGGGGCCCCGCACAAGCGGCGGAGCAUGCGGAUUAAUUCGAUGCAACGCGUAGAACCUUACCUGGGUUUGACAUGGAUCGGGAGUGCUCAGAGAUGGGUGUGCCUCUUUUGGGGUCGGUUCACAGGUGGUGCAUGGCUGUCGUCAGCUCGUGUCGUGAGAUGUUGGGUUAAGUCCCGCAACGAGCGCAACCCUUGUUCACUGUUGCCAGCACGUUAUGGUGGGGACUCAGUGGAGACCGCCGGGGUCAACUCGGAGGAAGGUGGGGAUGACGUCAAGUCAUCAUGCCCCUUAUGUCCAGGGCUUCACGCAUGCUACAAUGGCUGGUACAGAGAGUGGCGAGCCUGUGAGGGUGAGCGAAUCUCGGAAAGCCGGUCUCAGUUCGGAUUGGGGUCUGCAACUCGACCUCAUGAAGUCGGAGUCGCUAGUAAUCGCAGAUCAGCAACGCUGCGGUGAAUACGUUCCCGGGGCU